AGAAAAGCAGGGGAUCGCAAGACCUUGCGCUUUUGGAGCGGCCGAUGUCUGAUUAGCUAGUUGGUGAGGUAAAGGCUUACCAAGGCUUCGAUCAGUAGCUGGUCUGAGAGGACGACCAGCCACACUGGGACUGAGACACGGCCCAGACUCCUACGGGAGGCAGCAGUGGGGAAUUUUGGACAAUGGGGGCAACCCUGAUCCAGCCAUGCCGCGUGAGUGAAGAAGGCCUUCGGGUUGUAAAGCUCUUUCAGCCGGAACGAAAAGGUUACGGUUAAUACCCGUGACUAAUGACGGUACCGGAAGAAGAAGCACCGGCUAACUACGUGCCAGCAGCCGCGGUAAUACGUAGGGUGCGAGCGUUAAUCGGAAUUACUGGGCGUAAAGCGUGCGCAGGCGGUUUUGUAAGUCAGAUGUGAAAUCCCCGGGCUUAACCUGGGAACUGCGUUUGAAACUACAAGGCU
RNAcentral lists this ribosomal RNA (461 nucleotides) under uncultured beta proteobacterium. RNAcentral describes it as "bacterial SSU rRNA". It matches the Rfam family "Bacterial small subunit ribosomal RNA", at positions 200 to 642 of the family's 1533-position model. The record is from RNAcentral. Lineage: Bacteria; Pseudomonadati; Pseudomonadota; Betaproteobacteria.